This 462-nucleotide ribosomal RNA is filed under the name uncultured bacterium. Its description in RNAcentral is "bacterial SSU rRNA". It matches the Rfam family "Bacterial small subunit ribosomal RNA", at positions 355 to 825 of the family's 1533-position model. The record is from RNAcentral.
UAAGGAAUAUUGCGCAAUGGGCGACAGCCUGACGCAGCGACGCCGCGUGGGGGAUGAAGGUCUUCGGAUUGUAAACCCCUUUCGGCAGGGAAGAUGGAACGGGUAACCGUUCGGACGGUACCUGCAGAAGCAGCCACGGCUAACUUCGUGCCAGCAGCCGCGGUAAUACGAAGGUGGCAAGCGUUGUUCGGAUUUACUGGGCGUACAGGGAGCGUAGGCGGUUGGGUAAGCCCUCCGUGAAAUCUCCGGGCCUAACCCGGAAAGUGCGGAGGGGACUGCUCGGCUAGAGGAUGGGAGAGGAGCGCGGAAUUCCCGGUGUAGCGGUGAAAUGCGUAGAGAUCGGGAGGAAGGCCGGUGGCGAAGGCGGCGCUCUGGAACAUUUCUGACGCUGAGGAGCGAAAGCUAGGGGAGCAAACAGGAUUAGAUACCCUUGUAGUCCCUGAGCGGGCUGGCAAGGCGCAU